Molecule: long non-coding RNA, 1839 nt
Organism: Mauremys mutica (yellowpond turtle)
Lineage: Eukaryota; Metazoa; Chordata; Testudines; Geoemydidae
Exons: 5
Source: RefSeq, a predicted model, not a curated record
GGACAUCCUUCUAAGGAAACAAGAAUAGUCCUCAGGUUUCUGCCUUCUGCAUAACUGGCUUACCAAGCAAAAAGAUGUCACAUGUCAAAGUCUGCUGCCCUUAUGAGUGAGAGUGACGAGACUGCGAGCGUUGUUGGUGCCAGGCAGGAGCCGUCCAUCUGGGAGCAGAACAGCUGCUACUAUCACUGAGAUAAGUAUCUGUUUUGCUGAGGGUUCUGCUCACGGCCCACCUGACUACAGGUAGAGACACCCCGUUACGUGGGGCUGGGUUUGUAAGAAAAGGUUCCUGACUAGCUGUAGUUUUGAGGGAGACACGGUCCCCAUUUUCAGGGGCUGAUGAUUUCUCUGGCUAGGAUCGGUGUGUCCUCGGCAGGAGAAGGUUAGAUCCAUGAGGAUGACUCCAGGUGAGGAAUUGUCCAGGAGCAGCAGCUGAAGGAGAAAGUGGCAGACGCAGACCUGAGGAGCCUGGACAUCCUUCUAAGCAGACAUGAAUGGUCCUCAGAUUUCUGCCUCCCGCACAACUGGCUGUGAGUAAGCGGUCAGUGCUUGGAAUCCCUCAUCUGUACUGGCUCCAGUUUUGUUCAGAGGCUCUGAAUUUCUUCAUUGGACACGGUGCUCUGUGGGAUUCAGACGAGGCAAAGGCACAAGUCUCCUGUGCAGAGUGAGAAUCUUGGAUUGCUGGGUUUAGUACCAAGUGGAGAGUCAGAGUCCACUCCGCACAUGCCAUGGAAAGGGAGCGAGAGCUGGGAGAUUCUAAGCAUUGUUGAUACCAGGGAAGAGCCAUUCAGCUGGGAGUGGAGCAAGGACCACUGUCAGUGAGAUAAGUGUCUUGUUAGGUGAAGGCUCUGCUGUGGUUAUGAGGGAGACAAGGUCCCUAUUUUCAGGGGCUGCUCAGUCCUCUGGCCAGUACCGGUGUGUCCUCUGCAGCGGAAGGUUGGAUCCAGGAGGAUGACUCCAGGUGACAAGUUGCUUGCCUUCCUCCCGUGUUUCUCAUUUUCUUGCUCUCUGUCUCUUUAGUGUGUUGGCCAACGCUCUCUCUUAAUCUGUCCUUUCCUUUCCUUGUGCCAUCUCCCUUCUUAGGACACAGGCAGGCCUGCGAGGUAUGCAUCUCCACAGGUUAGGUCUUGAAAGCCCUGGAGUAGUAGGAGGGGACGAAAACCAUGCGGGGUAGUGGGUGCGAGAGUGGAGCAGUGUCUGUCAGUGUUGAAUCGGUCUCUGUUGAAGUGGGGCUGAUGUAGAUGGGGUGGAAGAGGGAGGCAGGAUUGAGGGCAACAUUUCAAGCACCAUUAGAGCUGUGUGUAGAGAUGGCGCAUGCUUGGCUUUUACAGCUGCACUUCCAGAGGAAUUGUCCAGGAGCUCGAGCCGGAGGAGAAACUGGCAGAGGUGGAUCUGAGCAGCUUGGACAUGGUUCUAACCAGACAGGAACAGUCCUCAGCUUUCUGCCUUCUGAACAACUGGCUGUGAGUAAGAGGAAAAAUAAGUCACAUGUCAGAGUCUACUCCCUCAUGCAAUGGAAAGUGAGUGAGAGCAGCGAGCCUGUGAGCAUUGUUCAUGUCAGGCAAGAGCCGUACAUCUGGGAGCCGAGCAGAGGCCACUGUCAGUGAGAUAAGUGUCUGUUUUGCUGAGGGUUCUGUUAACAGCCCAUCUGACUCCAGGUACAGACACCCUGUUAGCUGGGGCUGGUUUGUCAGAAGAGUUUCCUGACUAGCUGGGGAUACAAGGGAGACAAGGUCCCCAUUUUCAGGGGCUUGUCAUUGCUCUGUUCACAAGCAGUGUGUCCUCCGCAGGAGAAGGUUGGAUCCAGGAGGAUGACUCCAGAUGGUGAGUUACUUGCCUUUC